This 729-nucleotide ribosomal RNA is filed under the name uncultured Psychromonadaceae bacterium. RNAcentral's name for it is "bacterial SSU rRNA". It matches the Rfam family "Bacterial small subunit ribosomal RNA", at positions 46 to 763 of the family's 1533-position model. Lineage: Bacteria; Pseudomonadati; Pseudomonadota; Gammaproteobacteria; Alteromonadales; Psychromonadaceae. The record is from RNAcentral.
GCUUACACAUGCAAGUCGAACGGUAACAGGAAAUAGCUUGCUAUUUUGCUGACGAGUGGCGGACGGGUGAGUAAUGCUUGGGAAUUUGCCUGAUGGUGGGGGACAACAGUUGGAAACGACUGCUAAUACCGCAUAAUGUCUACGGACCAAAGGUGGCCUCUAUUUAUAAGCUAUCGCUAUCAGAUGAGCCCAAGUGGGAUUAGCUAGUUGGUAAGGUAAUGGCUUACCAAGGCGACGAUCCCUAGCUGGUCUUAGAGGAUGACCAGCCACACUGGAACUGAGACACGGUCCAGACUCCUACGGGAGGCAGCAGUGGGGAAUAUCGCACAAUGGGGGAAACCCUGAUGCAGCCAUGCCGCGUGUGUGAAGAAGGCUUUCGGGUUGUAAAGCACUUUCAGCGAGGAGGAAAGGGUGUUGCCUAAUACGUAACAUCUGUGACGUUACUCGCAGAAGAAGCACCGGCUAACUCCGUGCCAGCAGCCGCGGUAAUACGGAGGGUGCAAGCGUUAAUCGGAAUUACUGGGCGUAAAGCGCGCGUAGGUGGUUAAUUAAGUCAGAUGUGAAAGCCCAGGGCUCAACCUUGGAACUGCAUUUGAAACUGGUUGACUAGAGUUCUGUAGAGGGUGGUAGAAUUUCAGGUGUAGCGGUGAAAUGCGUAGAGAUCUGAAGGAAUACCAGUGGCGAAGGCGGCCACCUGGACAGUAACUGACACUGAGGCGCGAAGGCGUG